Molecule: ribosomal RNA, 499 nt
Filed under: uncultured Glomeromycotina
Lineage: Eukaryota; Fungi; Glomeromycota
Description: partial small subunit ribosomal RNA
Rfam family: Eukaryotic small subunit ribosomal RNA
Source: RNAcentral
CCAAUAGCGUAUAUUAAAGUUGUUGCAGUUAAAAAGCUCGUAGUUGAAUUUCGGGGUCAGCAAGUUGGUCGUGCCACUGGUAUGUACUGGCUUUGCUGAUUCCUCCUUCUUGUAGAACCGUAAUGCCAUUAAUUUGGUGUUGCGGGAAAACAGGACUGUUACUUUGAAAAAAUUAGAGUGUUUAAAGCAGGCUAACGCUUGAAUACAUUAGCAUGGAAUAAUGAAAUAGGACGACGAUCCUAUUUUGUUGGUUUCUAGGAUUGACGUAAUGAUUAAUAGGGAUAGUUGGGGGCAUUAGUAUUCAAUUGUCAGAGGUGAAAUUCUUGGAUUUAUUGAAGACUGACUACUGCGAAAGCAUUUGCCAAGGAUGUUUUCAUUAAUCAAGAACGAAAGUUAGGGGAUCGAAGACGAUCAGAUACCGUCGUAGUCUUAACCAUAAACUAUGCCGACUAGGGAUCGGAUGAUGUUAAUUUUAUAAUGACUCAUUCGGCGCCUUACG